RNAcentral lists this transfer RNA (69 nucleotides) under Calditrichota bacterium. RNAcentral describes it as "Calditrichaeota bacterium (activated sludge metagenome) tRNA-Met". It matches the Rfam family "tRNA". Rfam says of the family: Transfer RNA (tRNA) molecules are approximately 80 nucleotides in length. Their secondary structure includes four short double-helical elements and three loops (D, anti-codon, and T loops). The record is from RNAcentral. Lineage: Bacteria; Pseudomonadati; Calditrichota.
GGGUAGGUAGCUUGGAAGCUCACAGUAUUCAUGGUUCUGAUUGCGUAGGUUCGAUUCCUACCCUACCCU